GUAAGGAAUAUUGGGCAAUGGAGGCAACUCUGACCCAGCCAUGCCGCGUGAAGGAUUGACGGCCCUCUGGGUUGUAAACUUCUUUUGUACGGGAAUAACCCUCCGAACGUGUUCGGAGCUGAAGGUACCGUAAGAAUAAGGAUCGGCUAACUCCGUGCCAGCAGCCGCGGUAAUACGGAGGAUCCAAGCGUUAUCCGGAUUUACUGGGUUUAAAGGGUGCGUAGGCGGAUUGAUAAGUCAGUGGUGAAAUCCUGCAGCUUAACUGCAGAACUGCCAUUGAUACUGCCAGUCUGGAGUAUGGUUGAGGUAGCUGGAAUGUGUCAUGUAGCGGUGAAAUGCUUAGAGAUGACACAGAACACCGACGGCGAAGGCAGGUUACCAACCCAUUACUGACGCUGAGGCACGAAAGCGUGGGGAUCAAACAGGAUUAGAUACCCGAGUAGUCC
This 446-nucleotide ribosomal RNA is filed under the name uncultured bacterium. Its description in RNAcentral is "partial 16S ribosomal RNA". It matches the Rfam family "Bacterial small subunit ribosomal RNA", at positions 354 to 796 of the family's 1533-position model. The record is from RNAcentral.